This 68-nucleotide transfer RNA is filed under the name Paratectonatica tigrina. RNAcentral's name for it is "tRNA-Thr". It matches the Rfam family "tRNA". Rfam says of the family: Transfer RNA (tRNA) molecules are approximately 80 nucleotides in length. Their secondary structure includes four short double-helical elements and three loops (D, anti-codon, and T loops). Further hydrogen bonds mediate the characteristic L-shaped molecular structure. tRNAs have two regions of fundamental functional importance: the anti-codon, which is responsible for specific mRNA codon recognition, and the 3' end, to which the tRNAs corresponding amino acid is attached (by aminoacyl-tRNA synthetases). tRNAs cope with the degeneracy of the genetic code in two manners: having more than one tRNA (with a specific anti-codon) for a particular amino acid; and 'wobble' base-pairing, i.e. permitting non-standard base-pairing at the 3rd anti-codon position. The record is from RNAcentral. Lineage: Eukaryota; Metazoa; Mollusca; Gastropoda; Littorinimorpha; Naticidae.
GCAAUAGUAGCUCAAGAAAGAGCGUUGGUCUUGUAAACCAAAGGUUAAGUUAUAUAACUUCUUUUGCU